This 497-nucleotide ribosomal RNA is filed under the name uncultured bacterium. RNAcentral describes it as "partial 16S ribosomal RNA". It matches the Rfam family "Bacterial small subunit ribosomal RNA", at positions 28 to 507 of the family's 1533-position model. The record is from RNAcentral.
GAUGAACGCUGGCGGCGUGCCUAAUACAUGCAAGUCGAGCGAACAGACGAGGAGCUUGCUCCUCUGACGUUAGCGGCGGACGGGUGAGUAACACGUGGAUAACCUACCUAUAAGACUGGGAUAACUUCGGGAAACCGGAGCUAAUACCGGAUAAUAUAUUGAACCGCAUGGUUCAAUAGUGAAAGACGGUUUUGCUGUCACUUAUAGAUGGAUCCGCGCCGCAUUAGCUAGUUGGUAAGGUAACGGCUUACAAAGGGGACGAUGAGUAGCCGACCUGUGAGGGUGAUCGGCCACACGGGAACGGAGACACGGUCCAGACUCCUACGGGAGGCGGCAGUAGGGAAUCUUCCGCAAUGGGCGAAAGCCUGACGGAGCAACGCCGCGUGAGUGAUGAAGGUCUUCGGAUCGUAAAACUCUGUUAUUAGGGAAGAGCAAAUGUGUAAGUAACUAUGCACGUCUUGACGGUACCUAAUCAGAAAGCCACGGCUAACUACGUG